Molecule: ribosomal RNA, 116 nt
Filed under: Escherichia coli UMEA 3139-1
Lineage: Bacteria; Pseudomonadati; Pseudomonadota; Gammaproteobacteria; Enterobacterales; Enterobacteriaceae
Also listed under: 1 other name
Source: RNAcentral
CUGGCGGCAGUAGCGCGGUGGUCCCACCUGACCCCAUGCCGAACUCAGAAGUGAAACGCCGUAGCGCCGAUGGUAGUGUGGGGUCUCCCCAUGCGAGAGUAGGGAACUGCCAGACA